AUUGAACGCUGGCGGCAUGCCUUACACAUGCAAGUCGAACGGCAGCACGGGUGCUUGCACCUGGUGGCGAGUGGCGAACGGGUGAGUAAUACAUCGGAACGUACCUUAUCGUGCGGGAUAACGCAGCGAAAGCCGUGCUAAUACCGCCUACGCCCUGAGGGGUAAAGCCGGGGAUCGAAAGACCUCGCUCGAUGAGAGCGGCCGAUGCCUGAUUAGCUUGUUGGUGGGGUAAAAGCCCACCAAGGCGACGAUCAGUAGCUGGGCUGAGAGGACGAUCAGCCACACUGGGACUGAGACACGGCCCAGACUCCUACGGGAGGCAGCAGUGGGGAAUUUUGGACAAUGGGGGCAACCCUGAUCCAGCAAUGCCGCGUGAGUGAAGAAGGCCUUCGGGUUGUAAAGCUCUUUUGUCAGGGAAGAAACACCGGCUCUAACACAGUCCGGGAAUGACGGUACCUGAAGAAUAAGCACCGGCUAACUACGUGCCAGCCGCCGCAGUAA
RNAcentral lists this ribosomal RNA (501 nucleotides) under uncultured bacterium. RNAcentral describes it as "partial 16S ribosomal RNA". It matches the Rfam family "Bacterial small subunit ribosomal RNA", at positions 29 to 523 of the family's 1533-position model. The record is from RNAcentral.